Molecule: non-coding RNA, 74 nt
Organism: Pelobates cultripes (western spadefoot toad)
Lineage: Eukaryota; Metazoa; Chordata; Amphibia; Anura; Pelobatidae
Source: the annotation of a GenBank genome assembly
GGGAUUACCUGGGUGUGUCUAAGGUGUUUUUAUCCCAUUUUCUAAACACCUGAGACACACCCAGGUAAUCCCCA